GACGAACGCUGGCGGCGUGCCUAAUACAUGCAAGUAGAACGCUGAAGGAGGAGCUUGCUUCUCUGGAUGAGUUGCGAACGGGUGAGUAACGCGUAGGUAACCUGCCUGGUAGCGGGGGAUAACUAUUGGAAACGAUAGCUAAUACCGCAUAAUAGUAGAUGUUGCAUGACAUUUGCUUAAAAGGUGCAAUUGCAUCACUACCAGAUGGACCUGCGUUGUAUUAGCUAGUUGGUGAGGUAACGGCUCACCAAGGCAACGAUACAUAGCCGACCUGAGAGGGUGAUCGGCCACACUGGGACUGAGACACGGCCCAGACUCCUACGGGAGGCAGCAGUAGGGAAUUUUCGGCAAUGGACGGAAGUCUGACCGAGCAACGCCGCGUGAGUGAAGAAGGUUUUCGGAUCGUAAAGCUCUGUUGUAAGAGAAGAACGAGUGGAGAGGGAAAGUUCACA
RNAcentral lists this ribosomal RNA (452 nucleotides) under Streptococcus mitis. RNAcentral describes it as "bacterial SSU rRNA". It matches the Rfam family "Bacterial small subunit ribosomal RNA", at positions 28 to 468 of the family's 1533-position model. The record is from RNAcentral. Lineage: Bacteria; Bacillati; Bacillota; Bacilli; Lactobacillales; Streptococcaceae.